GCUGGGCGUGGUGGCGGGUGCCUGUAAUCCCAGCUACUUGGGAGGCUGAGGCAGAAGAAUCGCUUGAACCCGGGAGGCAGAGGUUGCAGUGAGCCGAGAUCACCCCACUGCAUUCCAGCCUGGGGGACAGAGCGAGACUCUGUCUCAA
Papio anubis (olive baboon) is the source of this 148-nucleotide unclassified non-coding RNA. It matches the Rfam family "Metazoan signal recognition particle RNA". Rfam says of the family: The signal recognition particle (SRP) is a universally conserved ribonucleoprotein. It is involved in the co-translational targeting of proteins to membranes. The eukaryotic SRP consists of a 300-nucleotide 7S RNA and six proteins: SRPs 72, 68, 54, 19, 14, and 9. Lineage: Eukaryota; Metazoa; Chordata; Mammalia; Primates; Cercopithecidae. The record is from Ensembl.